RNA transcript from Oreochromis niloticus (Nile tilapia), 4292 nucleotides. It is a transcript of the gene named glycosyltransferase 8 domain containing 2, with no coding region annotated. The record is from RefSeq and is a predicted model, not a curated record. Lineage: Eukaryota; Metazoa; Chordata; Actinopteri; Cichliformes; Cichlidae. The transcript is spliced from 14 exons.
AUGUGGAUUGUGGGAGAUGUAGUUGUUGUAGCAACGUGAUCACGUUGCUCUUUACAUUAAAGACAGUUUUGGUCGUUUAGAGUCUAAAGGACCAAAAUUGUCUUUAAUGUAAUUAAAUAAUAAAGACACUUUAAGUUAAUAAAUGCUUACUGGCAUAAUGUUAACACAUCCCACGAGGGUAAUAAUCACAGACUUCUUUUUCUUUCUCACAAAAUACCAAAAGUGGAUCAGAUAUUGCCGUCACUGGUCUUUUAAAUAAGAUAAUCCAGCAUCUGGCUAACAAGAAGAAGACCAACAAGACGAGUCACAUCUGGAGGAAAAGGUGGGGGGAGAGAAAAGCGGGUGAGUCUCGGUCCUCAGAGGUUUUACAACACGGACCAUCAGCUCCACGAAUGGGACUAGCUGUAACCUCCACGCUGUUCUUGCUGAUGUCCCUGGAAGCAAAUAUAAAACAUGGCUCUCCUGAGAAAAAUCAAUCGGAUCCUGCUGGUGCUGCUGGUGCUGAUGGUGUGCCUCCUCCUGCGCAGUACACUGCUCAGAGCCUCCACUCGGCCAAGACUCUCAGAGAACAGGAAAAGCCCCAAGAAUUCAGGACAAGUUUCUCUGGAACACGCUGCAGAAGCGCAUGAUGUCGUGCCUGUUGUCAUCUGUGCAUCUGAGGAGCGCAUGGGUGCAUCCAUGGCAACCAUCAACAGCAUCAUCAGCAACACAGACGCCAGUGUUUUCUUCUACGUUGUUACUCUUCGUGAUGCUGUCAAACUCACGAGGAGGUACAUAGAGAAGACAAAACUCAAAGGCAUCCGCUACAAGAUAGUGGAAUUUAAUCCGAUGGUCCUUGUUGGAAAAGUGAAGCCAGAUUCAUCUCGACCUGAUCUCUUACAUCCUCUCAACUUUGUGCGGUUUUACCUGCCUCUGCUCGACAUCCUCCACAAGAGGGUUAUAUACUUAGAUGAUGACAUCAUCGUGCAGGGUGACAUCAGGGAUCUGUUUGAUAUCAAACUGAAGCCAGGACACGCGGCUGCUUUCGCCACAGACUGCGACCUUCCCUCCACACACGAGAUGGUGCGCAGCAUCGGCAUGCAGACAACCUACAUGGGCUUCCUGGACUACAGGAAACAGGAAGUGAAAGACCUGGGCAUCAACCCCAGCGACUGCUCUUUCAACCCUGGAGUGUUUGUGGCAGAUUUGAACGAGUGGAAGAAGCAGAAGAUCACCAAAGAGCUGGAGAAGUGGAUGGAGGAGAAUUUCAGACAAAACAUAUACAGCAGUGCCAUGGCAGGGGGCGUGGCAACUCCACCCAUGCUAAUCGUGUUUCAUGACAAAUACACGAUACUGGACCCUGUGUGGCACGUCAGGCACCUGGGGUGGAGUCCGGAUGUCCAUUACCCUGAGAACUUCCUCCAGGGGGCGCACCUCCUGCACUGGAACGGCCCGUUCAAACCCUGGAACUACCCUGCUGUGCAUUUAGAUCGCUGGGAGAAGUGGUUCAUCCCAGACCCCUCUGGAAGGUUCUCUUUGGAACGUCCUGACCACGACAGCUGAGGUCUGCGGCACCAAGGACCGGUCAGAGGGUCACGUGACACACGCUUACAGUGACGGGGUGAAAGAAUAAAUCCAUGAAUGUAACACUGAAGAACAGCCAGACGCCAAACUGUGACCAGUCUAAAGAAUGUCUGUAACUGGUAACACUCACAGGCUGGGUGUAUGUGCUGGAAAGAAGACAAGGACUUUGAAGUAUCCCUCCCCUUCACACCUCCUGCAGUCUGCUGAAUGAUUUUUCUGGACGUUGGGAGCUUGCACCUAAUACGUCAGAGGUCUCUUCAGGAACACAAAACCCACGUCCAUCUGAUCCUCCAGCGCAUCUUGGAAAACCGACUCUGCGUCAAAUGCUGAAAUAAAGUAUGAUGUGAGAGACUGGGAACUGCUGGCCAUCAAGUUGGCUCUAGACAAGUGGAUGCACUGGUUGGAGGAACAGCCCUUUAUCAUCUGGACGAACCACAAAAACCUCUCAUACCUACACCUAGCGAAAAGACUGAACAAGUGUCAAGCCAGACAAUUCUUCUCCCCAGACGGUACCUCAGAGGAAGAAACCAUCUUGCCUCCGUCCUGUGUUAUUGCCUUUUUGACUUGGCAAACUGAGACCUUGGUCCGGAAGGCUCAGAGGAGGGAACCAGAUCCAGGUCCAGGUCCAUAUCCAGAUAUAGAUCCAGAACUAGUUCCAGUGUACAACCUAAUUGGCUCUAUGUACCCACAAAUGUCUGCUCUAGGAUAAUCCACUGGGCCCAAACAGCUAAGUUCAUGUGUCAUCCCAGCAACAAUUGAACAAUAUCUUUUCUACAACGUCAGUUCUGGUUGCUGUCUUUGGCCAAACACGUUUGUGAGUAUGUCCUUGCUUGUCCAGCUUGGACCUAGAAUAAGCUAUCCAGCUUGCUAUUCACUGGGCUGUUCAGACCAUUUUUAACUCCUAGUUGCCCAUGGUCCCAAAUCGCAUUGGAUUUCAUCAUUGGCCUUCCUCCCUCAUCAGAUAAUACAGUCUACUCACCAUCAUUGGCCGGUUAUCUCAAGUUGCCCACAUUGUAGCUCUGCCUAAACUUCCAUUCGCCCUAGAAACAGUCUAGUUACUCACCAAGCAUGUUUUCAGGUUAUAUGGCAGGCAGGAUGGACUCAAGUGCAGACUGCGAAUUAAAGUUAAACAGUUCAUUAUUUACAACAUCACGUGUUAUAUAUACAAAGUGGAGAGAAUGGUCCAGGGUUCCAGGGAUCCACGGGUAGGUAGGGGAAAUAGGUGCUCCACACUCACACGUUGAUCCACACUACUCUUGCUCUGCUCCGAGAUCCACUCCACACUGCACAAACACGCCACACCAAACUGCCAGACAAUCACGCUCAGGUAUCCAGGAAAACAGGGGUUACUUUUCUGCUUUUUUAUGUCCAAAGUUAUAGCUUUGUCAUAGAUUUUAGCUUUUCACUCAUCUUUAGGUGACAUCUUUAGGUGUUAGCUAGCAUGCUAAGGCUACUUCCAGACUAAUGCAUUUUCGUUUGAAAACGCAUCGUUUUCUCUCCGUUUUGGCCUAUCGUCCACACUGAGACGGCGUUUUCCUCAAGAAAAAACGCAGCGUUUUGGAAACGCUCUCGAAAACGCAUACAUUUCAAAACGGAGCUGUCCCAUCGCAGUGUGGAUGCUUGAAAACGUAGACUUUCUAAAACUAUGACGCAUUUUAGUCAUGUGAUGCAGUCAUGUGACCAAUUAAACAAAGACAGUGGAGUGCAUUAUAUAGCAGUUGUUUUGAUUGCUCUCAAUUUUGACUGCCCUAAAAAAGAUCAAUUAGCAUGUACAAACUGAUUAAUAUCAGUUUGUACAUGCUCCAGAUAGCUUUUCUUCAAAUUCUUUAAUUCUCACUCGCUUUUGCGCAUGCGCAGGACUGGAACGUAAGUGUUUUCGGCCGUUUCAGUGUGGACGCACAACUCUGUGAAAACAACUGAAAACGCUAGUGUGGAAGCGGAGCGUUUUCAGACGAAAACGCCGUUUUCAAAUCUAUCCGGGCUAGUGUGGACGUAGCCUAAGUUAGUGCUAACCUCUAACUUUGUAACCUCGAACACUCAACCUCGUGAAAUUUUCGUGGAUGCUACACUGUGUUGUAAUACCUGUGAAAAUAGCUACAUUAAUUUUAUUGGAGCAGAAAUAAUGUAAUGUAAAUAAUCUUCUUUUGGCUGCUCCAUCUCAGGGCCUCCAUCUCAAUCUGUCUCCAGCAUCCUUCUCCUCCACACCAACCUAUCCAUUUAUUUUCUGUCUGGUCUUCCUCUUUUCCUCUUGACUGGAAGUCACGUUUAAAAUCCUUUGUCCAGUAAAUCCACUGUCCCUCCUCUGCACAUGUUUAAACCAUCUCAGCUUGCCUCUCUAACGUUGUCUCCAAACCACUCAAACUGAGCCAUCUCUCUGAUGUACUCAUUUCUAAUCUGGUCCAUUCUGAUCACUCUCAUUGAAAAUCUUAGCUACUUCAGUUCUGCUCUGUGUCUUUUUGUUAGUGGCACAGUGGGCCAUCUUGUAAAUCUUCCCUUUUCACUCUCUUGUGUUAUCAAUCAUGCCUGACAUUUUUUUCCACCCACUCCAUCCUGCCUGCACCUCUUCUUCACCUCCCUUGUGCACUGCCCAUUGCUUUGGAUGCUUGAACCCAGAUAUUUACAAUCACCAACUUCAUUGCCUCUGCGUAAAUAAUAUGAAACAUUAUUAACUCUCAGUCAUGCUUCAGUGUUUCUUCUUUGAGAGCUGAAAAAAGGAUUUGGACGUCAGA